UCGUCGCGAUCGCCUUACGGCUCAGUAACACGUGGAUAACCUACCCUCAGAUCUGGGAUAACUCCGGGAAUCUGGAGAUAAUACCGGAUAAUCCGUGAACGCUGGAAUGCCUCACGGUUGAAAGCUUUUGCGUCUGAGGAUGGGUCUGCGGCCGAUUAGGUAGUUGCUGGGGUAACGUCCCAACAAGCCGAUAAUCGGUACGGGUUGUGAGAGCAAGAGCCCGGAGAUGGAUUCUGAGACACGAAUCCAGGUCCUACGGGGCGCAGCAGGCGCGAAAACUUUACACUGCGCGAAAGCGCGAUAAGGGGACCUCGAGUGCGUGCGCAAUGCGUACGCUUUUCAGAUGCCUAAAAAGCAUGUGGAAUAAGGGCCGGGCAAGACCGGUGCCAGCCGCCGCGGUAACACCGGCGGCUCAAGUGGUGGCCGCUAUUAUUGGGCUUAAAGGGUCCGUAGCCGGACCAGUUAGUCCCUUGGGAAAUCUUACGGCUUAACCGUAAGGCUGCCAAUGGAUACUGCUGGUCUUGGGACCGGGAGAGGUAAGAGGUACCUCAGGGGUAGGAGUGAAAUCCUGUAAUCCUUGAGGGACCGCCAGUGGCGAAAGGCGUCUUACUAGAACGGGUCCGACGGUGAGGGACGAAAGCUAGGGGCACGAACCGGAUUAGAUACCCGGGUAGUCCUAGCCGUAAACGAUGCGAGCUAGGUGUCACGUGAUUGCGAAUCCAUGUGUGCCGAAGGAAACCGUGAAGCUCGCGCUGGGAAGUACGGCCGCAAGGCUGAAACUAAAGAAUUGCGGGGGGAGCACAAGGGCGAAUCGUUAACUGCAGACUAGUCCUUAGGAGGUAAUCUGGAGCUGGCGUAUCAUGUCAUAGCCUGUCCUGGGUGCAAUUGUUUUCCGCUCACAUCCACAAUACUAUCGAGAGUCGAAGCUUAAGUGUAAAGGCUUGGGGUGCCUUAUGAUGUGGAGCUAUCUACACUCCACC
This 980-nucleotide ribosomal RNA is filed under the name uncultured archaeon. RNAcentral describes it as "bacterial SSU rRNA". It matches the Rfam family "Archaeal small subunit ribosomal RNA", at positions 69 to 1325 of the family's 1478-position model. The record is from RNAcentral.